AGAGACAGCAGUCGCCGCGGGAAUACGUAGGUCCCGAGCGUUGUCCGGAUUUAUUGGGCGUAAAGGGAGCGCAGGCGGUUUAGUAAGUCUGAAGUUAAAGGCAUUGGCUCAACCAAUGUAUGCUUUGGAAACUGUUAGACUUGAGUGCAGAAGAGGAGAGUGGAAUUCCACGUGUAGCGGUGAAAUGCGUAGAGAUGUGAAGGAACACCAGUGGCGAAGGCGACUCUCUGGUCUGUAGCUGACGCUGAGGAGCGAAAGCGUGGGGAGCGAACAGGAUUAGAUACCCGCGUAGUCCCUGUCUCUUAUACA
This 309-nucleotide ribosomal RNA is filed under the name uncultured bacterium. RNAcentral describes it as "partial 16S ribosomal RNA". It matches the Rfam family "Bacterial small subunit ribosomal RNA", at positions 504 to 808 of the family's 1533-position model. The record is from RNAcentral.